Molecule: long non-coding RNA, 492 nt
Filed under: Erythranthe guttata (spotted monkey flower)
Lineage: Eukaryota; Viridiplantae; Streptophyta; Magnoliopsida; Lamiales; Phrymaceae
Description: long non-coding RNA (EGUT_LNC001593)
Source: RNAcentral
UCCUAUUAAUCGCACCAGUUAUCGAUAAAUGGAACUGUAUAUCGAACCCUGCCAAGAGUUCCUUAACGAAAACCGGAACUCUCGAUCUCCGUAUCCCCCCGUUUUAUAAUCAAUUGUAACACUAACUCACUUCUCACUCUAAAUUUAUGUGUGUGAUACUGUUAAUUUGAAUAUACAACUUGCAGCAUGUUCCUUCUUUCCCCUCUUAUGCACAAAAGUAAGCUGCAGAAACCCUAAUUUCAAAACCUAAUCCAAAUCCACUCUAAGUAAGAAAUGAUUUUGACUCCUAAGUUGAGGACGAUGCAGGGCGGUAAGGAAACAUCAGUUAUUCAGAUUUAAGAGGCAAAAUAUACUGUUAAUGGUGCGUAAUUAGGAAAUCUUAACUUAGACGGCGGCGCCGAUGACUGGUUGCCGGAAAAUUUUAGCCGCCUUCGCCGCGGAAUCGUGGCUGCCACCGUAGGGAUGCUGCAAUUCGCCGGGAACUGUGGGGUG